Molecule: long non-coding RNA, 705 nt
Organism: Pseudophryne corroboree (corroboree frog)
Lineage: Eukaryota; Metazoa; Chordata; Amphibia; Anura; Myobatrachidae
Exons: 3
Source: RefSeq, a predicted model, not a curated record
UCUUGCAAUCUUUUAUGCAAAUAAAAUAUCAGUCUAAAGGCCUAUACAGACUAGGCGAUGUGCUUUAUGAGCGACAUCUCUUAGUGCAGAGGCGGCCAAAACAUCGAUCGCAAUCUACCAGUAGAUCGCAGAGCUCUCACCGGUAGAUCGCAAUCCAAUUUCCGCCUCUGCCGCCUGAGUCUGGACUGUUCCCAAUGAUGCAUUGAGCAGGUGACAUCAUGAUGUCAGCCGCUCACCCGCGCAAUGCACGAUUGGGAACGCGAUGUGAGGAGCCUGUGCGCCUGCUGGAUCCGGUAUGAUCCAGACAGUGCCGGCGGCAGCAGGACAGCAGCAGCAGCGGGAAGCGGGAGCAAGCACGGGAGCAAGAUCCAGCCAGCGGGGAGACAGCCAGCCAGCCAGCCAGCGGGGAGACAGUCAGCAGGGAUCCAGCCAGCUAAAGUCCUGCGUUGUAUCUUCCCAAGUGGCGUGGAUGUGAGGAGACACGACAUUUCACCCGAUGUUCCAUGGGCGACCUACUGGUGAUGUGGACCUGACCCUCCGCCAUGUAGCAGACAACCACCUCAGAUCUUCCGGUGUAUCCUUCCUAAGUGGUGUGGACGUGAAGAGACAGAUCCCCUGAUGUUCCCUGGGCAAUCUUACAUACAAUUCAACUGCAUUACAAAUUUUAAUAAAAACCACAGGAAACUUCUAUUUUUAAAAGUUUAU